UACGUAGGGGGCAAGCGUUGUCCGGAUUUAUUGGGCGUAAAGAGCGUGUAGGCGGCCUUACAGGUCAGCUGUGAAAACUCGAGGCUCAACCUCGAGACGUCGGUUGAAACCAUCUGGCUAGAGUCCGGAAGAGGAGAGUGGAAUUCCCGGUGUAGCGGUGAAAUGCGCAGAUAUCGGGAAGAACACCCGUGGCGAAGGCGGCUCUCUGGGACGGUACUGACACUGAGACGCGAAAGCGUGGGGAGCGAACAGG
This 253-nucleotide ribosomal RNA is filed under the name uncultured bacterium. RNAcentral describes it as "partial 16S ribosomal RNA". It matches the Rfam family "Bacterial small subunit ribosomal RNA", at positions 524 to 776 of the family's 1533-position model. The record is from RNAcentral.